AUCCCAUGAUGAGGACACUUAUGAAGUAAAUUCUUGAAUCGCUCUCAAGCCUCAUAUAAAGACUCGUCAUUCAAUUGUCAGAAGGUAGUGAUCUCAUUCCUCAACUU
Molecule: small nucleolar RNA, 107 nt
Organism: Gossypium arboreum
Lineage: Eukaryota; Viridiplantae; Streptophyta; Magnoliopsida; Malvales; Malvaceae
Rfam family: Plant small nucleolar RNA R71
About the family: R71 is a member of the C/D box family of snoRNAs containing the C (UGAUGA) and D (CUGA) box motifs. Multiple nearly identical copies of this snoRNA have been identified in Arabidopsis, and it is thought to function as a 2'-O-ribose methylation guide for 18S ribosomal RNA.
Source: Rfam